GAUGAACGCUGGCGGGAGGCCUAAUACAUGCAAGUCGAGCGCAGGUUAAGCUGCGCGGCGAACGGCUGAGUAACACGUUGGUACCUGCCCCAAUCUCAGGGAUAACCACUGGAAACGGUGGAUAAUACCGGAUAGCCCGUAAGGGUAAAGAUUUAUCGGAUUGGGAGGGGCCUGCGGCGUAUCAGGUAGUUGGUGGGGUAAAAGCCCACCAAGCCAAUGACGCGUAUCUGGUGUGAGAGCAUGACCAGACAGAGUGGGACUGAGACACGGCCCACACUCCUACGGGAGGCAGCAGUAAGGAAUCUUCCACAAUGGGCGAAAGCCUGAUGGAGCCAUCCCGCGUGCCUGAUGACACCCCUCGGGGCGUAAAAGGCUUUUCUGAAGGAAGAAGUUCUGACGGUACUUCAGGAAUAAGUGACGGCUAACUCCG
Molecule: ribosomal RNA, 430 nt
Filed under: uncultured bacterium
Lineage: Bacteria
Description: bacterial SSU rRNA
Rfam family: Bacterial small subunit ribosomal RNA
Source: RNAcentral